RNAcentral lists this ribosomal RNA (468 nucleotides) under uncultured bacterium. Its description in RNAcentral is "partial 16S ribosomal RNA". It matches the Rfam family "Bacterial small subunit ribosomal RNA", at positions 28 to 507 of the family's 1533-position model. The record is from RNAcentral.
GACGAACGCUGGCGGCGUGCUUAACACAUGCAAGUCGAACGGAAAGGCCCUGCUUUUGUGGGGUGCUCGAGUGGCGAACGGGUGAGUAACACGUGAGUAACCUGCCCUUGACUUUGGGAUAACUUCAGGAAACUGGGGCUAAUACCGGAUAGGAGCUCCUGCUGCAUGGUGGGGGUUGGAAAGUUUCGGCGGUUGGGGAUGGACUCGCGGCUUAUCAGCUUGUUGGUGGGGUAGUGGCUUACCAAGGCUUUGACGGGUAGCCGGCCUGAGAGGGUGACCGGCCACAUUGGGACUGACAUACGGCCCAGACUCCUACGGGAGGCAGCAGUGGGGAAUAUUGCACAAUGGACGGAAGCCUGAUGCAGCAACGCCGCGUGCGGGAUGACGGCCUUCGGGUUGUAAACCGCUUUCGCCUGUGACGAAGCGUGAGUGACGGUAAUGGGUAAAGAAGCACCGGCUAACUACGUG